Cinara cedri is the source of this 323-nucleotide non-coding RNA. The record is from the annotation of a GenBank genome assembly. Lineage: Eukaryota; Metazoa; Arthropoda; Insecta; Hemiptera; Aphididae.
AAAGAUACCUACCUAUAUAAUAUUUAAUGAAUAUACCGUAUUUACGACGAAAAAUCCGGUAUGUCUACGCUACCGAACACCGGCGAGUCAAUAACACUCGCAGACGUAGAUAAUAAACUAGAUUGCUAGGUUCCCUGUACUAUCCGUGUAAACGUUCGAGGCCAUAAUAUAUCCGCCGUUACUGGUAUAUAGGUCAUUUUGUAUCUUAUCAUGUCAUAAUUUUGAUAACACAAUUUAUGACAGAUCGCGAAAUAAUUCAUGCGACAGGAAUAGAUCAAAUUUAAACAACGUCUUUUUUUUUUCACCGACGUUUUGGACGCCGC